GUAAUGGCCUACCAGGCGACGACGGGUAGCCGACCUGAGAGGGUGACCGGCCACACUGGGACUGAGACACGGCCCAGACUCCUACGGGAGGCAGCAGUGGGGAAUAUUGCACAAUGGGCGGAAGCCUGAUGCAGCGACGCCGCGUGAGGGAUGAAGGCCUUCGGGUUGUAAACCUCUUUCAGCAGGGACGAAGCGUGAGUGACGGUACCUGCAGAAGAAGCACCGGCUAACUACGUGCCAGCAGCCGCGGUAAUACGUAGGGUGCGAGCGUUGUCCGGAAUUACUGGGCGUAAAGAGUUCGUAGGCGGUUUGUCGCGUCGUUUGUGAAAACCCGGGGCUCAACUUCGGGCUUGCAGGCGAUACGGGCAGACUUGAGUGUUGUAGGGGAGACUGGAAUUCCUGGUGUAGCGGUGGAAUGCGCAGAUAUCAGGAGGAACACCGAUGGCGAAGGCAGGUCUCUGGGCAGUCACUGACGCUGAGGAGCGAGAGCAUGGGUAGCGAACAGGAUUAGAUACCCUGGUAGUCCAUGCUGUAAACGGUGGGCGCUAG
Molecule: ribosomal RNA, 549 nt
Filed under: uncultured Actinomycetes bacterium
Lineage: Bacteria; Bacillati; Actinomycetota; Actinomycetes
Description: bacterial SSU rRNA
Rfam family: Bacterial small subunit ribosomal RNA
Source: RNAcentral